ACAGAGGGUGCGAGCGUUGUCCGGAAUCACUGGGCGUAAAGGGCGCGUAGGCGGGCCGUUAAGUCGAUUGUGAAAGCCCUGGGCUUAACCUGGGAAUUGCAGUCGAAACUGGCGGUCUUGAGUGCCUGAGAGGAUGGCGGAAUUCCCGGUGUAGUAGUGAAAUACGUAGAUAUCGGGAAGAACACCUGAGGCGAAGGCGGCUAUCUGGCGGUGCACUGACGCUGAGGCGCGAAAGCGUGGGGAGCAAACAGGA
RNAcentral lists this ribosomal RNA (253 nucleotides) under uncultured prokaryote. Its description in RNAcentral is "partial 16S ribosomal RNA". It matches the Rfam family "Bacterial small subunit ribosomal RNA", at positions 525 to 777 of the family's 1533-position model. The record is from RNAcentral.